GCUAGCUACAGGCUUAACACAUGCAAGUCGAGGGGCAGCAUGGUCUUAGCUUGCUAAGGCCGAUGGCGACCGGCGCACGGGUGAGUAACACGUAUCCAACCUGCCGUCUACUCUUGGACAGCCUUCUGAAAGGAAGAUUAAUACAAGAUGGCAUCAUGAGUCCGCAUGUUCACAUGAUUAAAGGUAUUCCGGUAGACGAUGGGGAUGCGUUCCAUUAGAUAGUAGGCGGGGUAACGGCCCACCUAGUCUUCGAUGGAUAGGGGUUCUGAGAGGAAGGUCCCCCACAUUGGAACUGAGACACGGUCCAAACUCCUACGGGAGGCAGCAGUGAGGAAUAUUGGUCAAUGGGCGAGAGCCUGAACCAGCCAAGUAGCGUGAAGGAUGACUGCCCUAUGGGUUGUAAACUUCUUUUAUAAAGGAAUAAAGUCGGGUAUGGAUACCCGUUUGCAUGUACUUUAUGAAUAAGGAUCGGCUAACUCCGUGCCAGCAGCCGCGGUAAUACGGAGGAUCCGAGCGUUAUCCGGAUUUAUUGGGUUUAAAGGGAGCGUAGAUGGAUGUUUAAGUCAGUUGUGAAAGUUUGCGGCUCAACCGUAAAAUUGCAGUUGAUACUGGAUAUCUUGAGUGCAGUUGAGGCAGGCGGAAUUCGUGGUGUAGCGGUGAAAUGCUUAGAUAUCACGAAGAACUCCGAUUGCGAAGGCAGCCUGCUAAGCUGCAACUGACAUUGAGGCUCGAAAGUGUGGGUAUCAAACAGGAUUAAAUACCCUGGUAGUCCACACGGUAAACGAUGAAUACUCGCUGUUUGCGAUAUACUGCAAGCGGCCAAGCGAAAGCGUUAAGUAUUCCACCUGGGGAGUACGCCGGCAACGGUGAAACUCAAAGGAAUUGACGGGGGCCCGCACAAGCGGAGGAACAUGUGGUUUAAUUCGAUGAUACGCGAGGAACCUUACCCGGGCUUAAAUUGCAGAUGAAUUACGGUGAAAGCCGUAAGCCGCAAGGCAUCUGUGAAGGUGCUGCAUGGUUGUCGUCAGCUCGUGCCGUGAGGUGUCGGCUUAAGUGCCAUAACGAGCGCAACCCUUGUUGUCAGUUACUAACAGGUUCCGCUGAGGACUCUGACAAGACUGCCAUCGUAAGAUGUGAGGAAGGUGGGGAUGACGUCAAAUCAGCACGGCCCUUACGUCCGGGGCUACACACGUGUUACAAUGGGGGGUACAGAGGGCCGCUACCACGCGAGUGGAUGCCAAUCCCCAAAACCUCUCUCAGUUCGGACUGGAGUCUGCAACCCGACUCCACGAAGCUGGAUUCGCUAGUAAUCGCGCAUCAGCCACGGCGCGGUGAAUACGUUCCCGGGCCUUGUACACACCGCCCGUCAAGCCAUGGGAGCCGGGGGUACCUGAAGUGCGUAACCGCGAGGAGCGCCCUAGGGUAAAACUGGUGACUGGG
This 1440-nucleotide ribosomal RNA is filed under the name uncultured organism. RNAcentral's name for it is "SSU rRNA". It matches the Rfam family "Bacterial small subunit ribosomal RNA". The record is from RNAcentral.